This 54-nucleotide ribosomal RNA is filed under the name Neurospora crassa. RNAcentral describes it as "partial 19S ribosomal RNA". Lineage: Eukaryota; Fungi; Ascomycota; Sordariomycetes; Sordariales; Sordariaceae. The record is from RNAcentral.
AAGGGAAAAUAUAUCCUUAUGUAUAUAUUCUUUAUUUUAAAGUAUAUAUAUAUA